This is a long non-coding RNA of Passer domesticus (house sparrow), 4332 nucleotides long. RefSeq lists it as uncharacterized. The transcript has 3 exons. The record is from RefSeq and is a predicted model, not a curated record. NCBI's taxonomy places the organism in Eukaryota, Metazoa, Chordata, Aves, Passeriformes, Passeridae.
GCCUGUGUUUGCUGUCACAAAAGCCGGGGGACAGCGUCACUGAGGCCACGGUGACCCGCCAUUCCGCCUGCCAGCCACAGGGUGUCACUUAGAGUGCAGGUAAAGCCCGUGUCCCCUGCAGGGUGGAUGCUGCAGGGUGACCCUGCACCGGGGCUGCUCCGGGAUAGAGCUGCUCCCCAUCCUGCUGCACGGCUGAAGAGCCCCACUGAGGUGGAGCAGGGACAAGGACACGGUGGGGAAGGACGUUCUGGGAGGGAUCCUGUCCCCUCUUCUAUGGGGUGUUGCCUGCUUCAGCAGGGCUGCUCUGAAAAGCUGCGGGAAGGGCAGUGCUAAGCUUUGUUCCCAGGUGUGUGUUGGGAUGUGGAGCUGUGCAAAGCCCAGUGCAGCCGUUCAGAGAUGAAACAAACCUGUCAGAGGAGCCUGAGCAGGCAGCAAGAGCCUGCCCUUGGAUGAUGCAGGGAUUGCUCGUGGCUGGACACGCUGUGUUCAUCACUGCACUGCUGUCCUUUGCAUCCAUCUGAUGUCUCAGUGCUGUCCCCUGGCAGCAGCUGUUGGAUUUUCCCUCGGUACCUGGCAGAUGCUCCAGGUGCUCCCACUGGACAGCAAUAACUCACAGGAAUUGCUGAAUUAUGCCAGUAAUCCCUGAAACACCAGCACUUGUGUAUUUCAAAGUACAUCGUGAGCAGUCAGGACUUGCUGCAGGAUCUCCAGGCUCCACAGUGAUUCCUGCUCUGCAGCUGGAGCAGCUGAUGCACAGUUUGGAAGAAGAAUGAUUUCAAAGAUUGUUGGUUUUGGGCUGAUCUUAACACACUUGAACAACUGAAAACUCUGAUCUCUGUAUGGAAGCCAGUGUGGAAAAUGGGAGUUUGGGUGCAGGAAAUGGAUUUCUAGGAUUCAUAAGGAGAGGACACCCUUUUCCUUUGCAGGACAGCAGAGUGAAAGGCUGGGGAUGAAGGGGAAAGAGAGAAGCAGGGAGAUUUCCCAGUGUUGCCUUGCACUGAGAAAGCGCCUCACAGGUUCCUUCCUAGGGGAAUUUUUCAUGUUCCAGGAGCUCUGCAGGGAUGAGAGAGACCUCUGACUUGGGAAGCCCUUCUGGGAAGUCCUUUUCAUCAGGGGCUUAUUUUAAUUUUCAGGAUGUGGAUGGUGGUGACUUGGGUGGGACUGCAGGGAUUUGGACAGGGCUGCACCCUAACACACCCCAACAAGGCCUUAGGAGAGAGAACCCCUUUCAUUCUUCAUGGGGAACACUUUGUAUUAAAGAAACACAGGAUCCCAUAGGUUCACAUUUAGGUUAAUUUUGGCCAUCUAAUCCAAACUUCUGAAUUUCCCACUUUACAUAACUAUCCUGUAUAAAGUCACCCACUUUGCCCCUAUGUCAUUAAUUACCAAAUUAACAUCUGAAAAUGCACAUUUCCACCAGAGCUGCCUGUGACUCAGAAGUCUCCUUAGCAGCCCAAAAAUUAGAAGGCUUUUGUUUGCUGUGAAAGUGAGGGAACAAAUUCCCACUUGGGUCUGCUUUCUGUUUCCAAGCCUGUCUCAAAAGGGACAGGGAUAAAUCCAAGUGCAGUUGUGGUGGUUCACUGCAUCGCUCAGUUCCAGGGAGUGGCUGUAGCAGUGGGAAUUCUGGGUUUUUCUGCUUCUUACUCCUUUUUGGGGAGAAUGAAAGGAUCCCCACAAAGAUCUUUUCACACAGUUAAGUCAUCCUUGUCCACCUACAAACCCAUCCUCAGUCUGGAUUUUUUUUUGCCUUAAUCUGUUCUUAAUCCCUUCAUCUCUCCUGUGUUCACAGCAUGUUUCUCCUAGGGAAAUUAAAAUCCAGCAAAAGUAAUAACAGCAGUUUUAUUCACCAUGAGCACUUUGCUUUGUUCCUUCAGUGAAUGCUGAGGGGGACAGAAGGAUCUCUGAGCUGACCCAGUGAGGCCCUGAGCAGGCACAGAGAGAGGCAUGAAUGGGGUGGAUGUGAAUGAGUCACUGAUGCUCUGGGAUCUGCUGAAAAUCAACUGUGUCUGCACUCAGCUUCUGGUGCACCUGAGCUAAAAUUCACCUCCUGAAACCUCAGGGAAAGAAAUUGAUUUCUCAGUGGUAGGUCAGUUAUGUGUGUGUGAGUCUUUAGGUUCCUGAGUAGCUUUGAAAACUUCACUGGGAUUUUAUUUCAUUUCCUUCAUGAAAUGAAGCACUUCUGUGAAUUUUGAGCAUGCAGAUGAAGAAGCUCUGGCUUUGCUUGGUGAAAAUAAAUCUGGUGUGGCAAUAGGACAUUGCAAGUUGGAUCAGAUGAACUCUACAGGCAUUUCUGUGGUUCUGUGAUGUCCCUACAGAUCUCAGAUAGAUCCUUUAGUGGUCUCUAUCACCAACUGUUUGUUUUUCAUGGACACCUAUGACAGUGUUUUUUUCUGUGAAGAACUUGUGCUACCAGGUGUGCAUCAGAGUGAGAGUGGUCUCAGGCUCUUGCUGUGAUUCCAUUUACCUAUUGAUGUGUAAUAUGUGAUUUUCCUGCACCAUUAAAAUGGUUUAGUUCAUCCUUUGCUUGCUUUUAGGGGAAUUGAGUGAUACUCAUGGGGCACUGACCUUUGUCUAGUUGCCAUGUUACCUCAGUGAAAAUCAGCUGGAAAAGGCAGGGCUAAUUGCUUUGAUUUAAUCCUGAAAUGUCAGUGACUCAGUGAUGGCUCAUUCAUGGAAGUUAUCUGCUCGAGGUGGAAGCACUGGAUAAAAAUAUCUUCCUUUGGAUGAACUUUAAGUGCUGGAAGUUUCAAAUCAUAGCAUCAGAGAAUGGUUUGAGUUGAAAAGGGACUUUAAGAUGACCUAGAUCUGACACCUCUGCCAUGAGAAGGGACAAAGGGAUGGGGCAAACCUAGGGGAAGCAUGCAGAAAGCAUUUCUGGGGAAGAACUGCAGUGCCUCACUGCCAGCUGUGGCACAGCAGGCAAAAAUCUGAUUUGCCAUCCCAAAGAACAGCAGGUGAGAGAAGGGAAUUGAGGGUUAAAUACCAGAUGUAAAGAGUAAGGGUGUUACUGUCCCACAUCCAAGGCAUAACAGACACAAUUCCUGACUGCUGGGCCACCAGAGCCUCUGAGCAAACUAAAAUUCAGCAGAAGAAAAUGUCAAACACAAAGUAUUUGUUUUGUAAAUGAAAAGGGGACAUGCAGCUUUAAUUUUAGUGUGUUUGGCCUAAGUACCUUCUCCCUUCCCUUGUCUCAACAGGAAAGAGAUGUCCAUAAAUUGGUUUUCUUCAUUAUUUUUCUUUCUGUCUCUCAGAGGAUGUUCCUGUCCCCUGAUUUGGUGGGCAGGCACAUGGCAGGACCACAGCCUCCCAUUAGAACCACUCUGGUUCUGGCUGUGCUGCCUUCAGAGUGAAUUCCAGGAGUUCCCUGGCCCCAGCUGGCACGGAUCCAUCUGGGUGGGGCUGUCCUGGAGCCCUGCUGCAGCCAAGGGGCAGCGCUUGUGGCUGUGCCAGUGGGAAGGAAGGGAUGGAGGCAGGUUCCAGCUUGUUUCUGUCAGAACAGGCAGCAAACGGGACCUGUUCAUCCCCUGCAGCUGGUCCCUGCUCAGGUUCCCAUCCUUCAACCCUGCCCCUUUAAAUUAACUCAAAUACUUCAGGCUUUCCAACCCUGGAAAGACUUCUCUCCUCUUUCUUUUUUUUGGUUUAGAGUGCAAGAAGUUCCCUGCUAACACGUCACCUUUAUUCCUCAGUGUCAUUAAUUUCUUUGGGGCUGAGCCAGGAGAGUUUUGAGGAGACAAUCUGUGUUUUGCAGUGGUUUUUAAGAGUUUCCAUACAAACACUUUGGGAUGUAAAAAGUGCUAAGCAGACAUCUGUCUUAAUAGUGUUCUCUCCAGGUCUCUUAUUCAGUAGUAAAAAUCUUCUCAGUAUGGAGAUGUGAACUGAAUGGAAAACAUCCCCUUUUUGUGGUCUGGGGAAACCAGAGAUACUUUCAUUAGUACUUUCAGAACUGCAGAAAUAUCCACGAGCUUGGAUAUUUAAUUUGUGUAAGUGCUGGGUACAGUCAGCAAUAUAUUUGCGAGUUUAUCCAUAAGAUUUCACAGCUCUGUAUUUGUUUUCAUGCCUUGCUGUCCUGAUGCAGACCUGCUGGUCUGUCUGUAGCACCUGCAGGUUUUCUGUGUGCCAGAUGAAGUGCUCAGUUAUCACAAUCACAUUUAUGCAGCUAUUUGCUGCUCUUCUCUGCAAUGCAGAGUUGUUUCCUAGGCUACAUUUCCUAGUAUAAUACAUAUCCUGUUGUCAGAUGCCUUCCAGUGCAUUUGGCUUCAUUCCUUGAUCCAAUGAAGAUAAAUUAGUGAACUGUCCUGCUUUAUCAGUGGAGUUGGGCUUUGUUUUCUAUAA